AUUGAACGCUGGCGGCAGGCCUAACACAUGCAAGUCGAACGAGUGGCGGACGGGUGAGUAAUGUCUGGGAAACUGCCCGAUGGAGGGGGAUAACUACUGGAAACGGUAGCUAAUACCGCAUACCAUCGGAUGUGCCCAGAUGGGAUUAGCUAGUAGUGGGGGUAACGGCUCACCUAGGCGACGAUCCCUAGCUGGUCUGAGAGGAUGACCGGCCACACUGGAACGGAACACGGGUCCAGACUCCUACGGGAGGCAGAAGUGGGGAAUAUUGCACAAUGGGCGCAAGCCUAAUGCAGCCAGGCCGCGUGGAUGAAGAAGGCCUUCGGGUUGUAAAGUACUUUCAGCGAGGAGGCGUUACUCGCAGAAGAAGCACCGGCUAACUCCGUGCCAGCAGCCGCGGUAAUUC
RNAcentral lists this ribosomal RNA (406 nucleotides) under uncultured bacterium. RNAcentral's name for it is "partial 16S ribosomal RNA". It matches the Rfam family "Bacterial small subunit ribosomal RNA", at positions 30 to 526 of the family's 1533-position model. The record is from RNAcentral.